GGCAGAGAAUGGAGACACAGAAUCUGAAACAGUCUCCAGGCUCUGAACUAUCAGCACAGAGCCCGACGUAGGGCUCAAAAUCACAAACCAUGAGAUCAUGGCCUGAGCCAAAGUCAGAUGUUUAACCAACUGAGACACCUAGGUGCCACUGUCACCCUGCUUUCUUUAUCCCCUUGGGAUAGACACUAAGGUCAACCCUCAAGUUGACCCUGAGACCACUCCACAAAAUACUCCCUACAUGCCAAUCUCUACCUCAUAUCUGUUUCCAGAGAACCCAACCUAAAAUAGUUAUAGCAUUUUUUAAAAUUUUAAUUAAUUGAUUUAUUGAUUGAUCAAGUAAGUAUGUGGGGCUUGAAUUCAUUCACGACUCAGAGAUCAAGAGUCACAUGCUCUACCAACUGAGCCAGGCAGUUAUAACUGCAGUUAUAACCGUUUUUUUAAAUACAUCACUAUUGUCAUGUGAUCUCCCCCAAAGUCUGAGAGCUAAAGGAAAAGGCAAUUGAGAAAGGAACAGGUGCUGGUAAACUUGUUUAAAUCUGCUUUUGUUUUAUAAGCGCAGAUUCCCUUAUUAUUUUUCAAUAUCUUUCUUUCUUAAGAUUAUUGAUUCUUUUAAAAAUUUUAUUAAGAAGGCAAUGGGGUGGUCUUUAAAAAUUAUCGAAAUGCAUUCUUUUUAUUUUAUAGAAUGGGCUAUGGAGGCUCGGUGUGUGUGUGUGUGUGUGUGUGUGUGUGUGUGUGUGUGUGUCCUGUUCAGCUCAUUCACUCAGUCAACAGAUAUUUAUCAGGACUGGAGCUGGACUCCUUGUAGGUUGUGCAGAAUGUACAUACAGAUGCAUGGAGAGUCACACUGAAGCCAUGCGGCUUCCUGUUGUGACAUCACUAGUUCUGGAGCUCAGUGAGAUUCUCUGGCCCAAUGGUCACAUGCUCCCUCUCCCCCUGGUGUCUUACCUGUAUGAGGAACUCAGCUUACUUAGCUCCUUUUAUUUCUCUCGGACUGGGAAACCACACAAAUCUGGUGGUGGAUCCACCACCAAAUCAUGACUUAAAUUCUGACAUGUCCCUUGCAAAUGGGAGAGAGGAUGAGCAGAAACUCACAUCUGUCAGACACAGUUACCUGUUAUCAUCUCUGCUAAAGACCAGGAGGUUGAAGAGCUGGAAAUUAAUGGGAUGCCCUGUCAAGGGCAUUUUUCACCCAAGCCCUGUCCUUCCUGCCAUGGAGAUCUGCCUGUCUCUUCCAAGAUCUAGUGUCUUCAAACCUCCCGACAAUAGGAGAGCAUCUGUAUGUUAUAAUUUUAUUUCGAGUUGUGAGCUUUUCCUUUAUCACCAAAGAGUUCCUGGAAAAACACCAAAUUAGUUCCACUUUACUGAAUAACAGAAUGUGUUUGCCAUCCACUGUAUAUUUUUAACCAAUAGUUGUUUCUGGCCACCUUCUAUUGGUGUUGUAUUGCCCUGAGUUGAAUACUGAAAGAGCAUAUGUCUUAGUCUUUGCCGGUGGUGAAUGUUUGGAGAGAAAAAAUAAGCUCAAAUGGACAAAAUGAGAAAAAUAAAUGCUUUUGUUGUAUCUUUUUUUGCUAAGUU
RNAcentral lists this long non-coding RNA (1575 nucleotides) under Felis catus (domestic cat). RNAcentral's name for it is "lncRNA (ENSFCAG00000050545.1)". The record is from RNAcentral. Lineage: Eukaryota; Metazoa; Chordata; Mammalia; Carnivora; Felidae.